AUUGAACGCUGGCGGCAUGCCUUACACAUGCAAGUCGAACGAACACAGGCGUUCGGGUGCUGACUAACGGUGAACGGGGGAGUAAUGCAUCGGAACGGGCCCAGUGGCUGGGGAUAACGGAGAGAAUGCUGUGACCAGACCGAAUGUGGGCUGAGGAUGAAAGCGGGAGAGCAAGCAGCAAUGAUUGGCCUCGCGCCUCUGGAGCAGCCGAUGUCAGAUUAGGUAGUUUGUGGGGUAAAGGCCUACCAAGCCGACGAUCUGUAGCUGGUCUGAGAGGACGACCAGCCACACUGGAACUGAGACACGGCCCAGACUCCUACGGGAGGCAGCAGUAGGGAAUUUUGCACAAUGGGCGCAAGCCUGAUCCAGCAAUGCCGCGUGCGUGAAGAAGGUCUUCGGGUUGUAAACCGCUGUUGUUCGGGACGAAAAGACUCUUGCUUAUAUCUGCACCUGAUGACGGUACCGAAAGAAUAAGCAACGGCUAACUACGUG
RNAcentral lists this ribosomal RNA (492 nucleotides) under uncultured bacterium. Its description in RNAcentral is "partial 16S ribosomal RNA". It matches the Rfam family "Bacterial small subunit ribosomal RNA", at positions 30 to 507 of the family's 1533-position model. The record is from RNAcentral.